UGGGAUGGAGAAAGGGGGGGUCCUCCCCUUCCACCCCCCCUCCCUCCUAGGUGGCGCAUGCGUCCUGGCUCAGGGCUGCUCGUCGGGCCAGCGGAGGGAGGGAGCCGCCGGGAGCGCUCGGGUGCCGCCGCCUGUUGCACCAGCGCCCCGUGCCGCCAGCCAUUGUCCCCCGCUCCCCGCCGCUGCAGGAGGCCAAGCAGCCCCGCCCGCGGGGUCUCUCUCAGAUUUUAAUAUCAGAAAAUUGGUGUCUCUGAUGAGAACUUUGUGUAGGACCCGUAUAUUGCUUUCUGCUGCGAUUCUCUGUGCUUGACUUGGAGGUCUUGAAAGAAGCUGCACGCUGCUGCAUGCAGUUACAAUAAGAAAGAGUCUCAUGUCUGCCGCUGCUGAAUGAACGUCCCAGUAUUUGCCUUCUAGUGGCAGCAUGUGGUUCUGUUAUGCCUGAGACCGGAUACAGCUGGGAAGCAAGCAUCACCUGAGGAAAUGCUGCACAUGAAACUUUUUUUAAGUGAUCAUUUUAGCAGGAAACCGUAAACCAAAGCAAGUUGUUUAAACAUUGAAGUUCACAAACACAUCAUCUUAAAAGUCUUUACUUUGCAACUCAGCCUUGUUGUUAUCUGCAUGCUGCAUUAUCAUAGCUUAAAGUGUUCUGCCAUGUUGUUUUUAAAGUGUCAGUCUUAGUUCCCUCUCCCUCAGCUCUUUACCACUGUGGUCAAUGACUCUUAAUGGUGGUGACGUGUCCUUUAUGUGUUUGCAAAAAUCUUCUCUGGUCAUACUUUUUUUUAACCACAGCAUCUGUCCUCCAACAUCCUGUCCCCAACCAGGAAGGUUCAAACCCCCAUAAUGGACAAUUAUAUAUUAACAUGGCUGUAGGAGGCGGGUGGGGGAGAGUCUUUCUGACCUCUUGCAGUUUGUGAUUGGCUUCUGUCUCGAAACAUGUGGGUUGAUCUUCUAGAUAGAUGUUUAUCCUGAACUCAUAUAAAUGCAGCUCUCUGCUUAUUCAUAGAAACAUCUAAGCCUUUUUAGGAAUGCUACUAAACUUUUUGCCUUAUAAUAUAUUUUGGCAGUGUCCCCUACAGGUUAACUAUGUAAAGCAUUUCUAUUGUUUACUUUGUUCUCUUCUCAUUUAAUUAAUUUUGUUCCCUUUAUUACAUGAGUCAAUAAAUAUUACCUGAUUGAGUUUCUCCA
Molecule: long non-coding RNA, 1185 nt
Filed under: Chrysemys picta bellii (western painted turtle)
Lineage: Eukaryota; Metazoa; Chordata; Testudines; Emydidae
Description: lncRNA (ENSCPBG00000018027.1)
Source: RNAcentral